This 168-nucleotide small RNA is filed under the name Coleus scutellarioides. RNAcentral's name for it is "Plectranthus scutellarioides signal recognition particle RNA". The record is from RNAcentral. Lineage: Eukaryota; Viridiplantae; Streptophyta; Magnoliopsida; Lamiales; Lamiaceae.
CCGAACCUCAUUACCUUGGCCUGUUACCCCAAGUUGGGGGUCUUUAAGGUUAUUUGAUKUUKGGCCUAUGCUACCKGCCKGGCUCUGGUCCUGCUUAUUCUGGCCCGCCCGUUCCAAGCCGGGAGUUGGCCCAUGUGGUUUAUGCGAAGGUAUAGGCUUCGUGGCUCC